UGACCACCCCAGUGCGGGUUAAGGCCAUACGGACAGCCGGGUCAACUGCCGA
This is a small RNA of Clostridium sp. CAG:169, 52 nucleotides long. It matches the Rfam family "Streptococcus sRNA SpF59 (ldcC RNA)". Lineage: Bacteria; Bacillati; Bacillota; Clostridia; Eubacteriales; Clostridiaceae. The record is from Rfam.